This 496-nucleotide ribosomal RNA is filed under the name uncultured bacterium. RNAcentral's name for it is "partial 16S ribosomal RNA". It matches the Rfam family "Bacterial small subunit ribosomal RNA", at positions 28 to 507 of the family's 1533-position model. The record is from RNAcentral.
GAUGAACGCUGGCGGCGUGCCUAAUACAUGCAAGUCGAGCGAACAGACGAGGAGCUUGCUCCUCUGACGUUAGCGGCGGACGGGUGAGUAACACGUGGAUAACCUACCUAUAAGACUGGGAUAACUUCGGGAAACCGGAGCUAAUACCGGAUAAUAUAUUGAACCGCAUGGUUCAAUAGUGAAAGACGGUUUUGCUGUCACUUAUAGAUGGAUCCGCGCCGCAUUAGCUAGUUGGUAAGGUAACGGCUUACCAAGGCAACGAUGCGUAGCCGACCUGAGAGGGUGAUCGGCCACACUGGAACUGAGACACGGUCCAGACUCCUACGGGAGGCAGCAGUAGGGAAUCUUCCGCAAUGGGCGAAAGCCUGACGGAGCAACGCCGCGUGAGUGAUGAAGGUCUUCGGAUCGUAAAACUCUGUUAUUAGGGAAGAACAAAUGUGUAAGUAACUAUGACGUCUUGACGGUACCUAAUCAGAAAGCCACGGCUAACUACGUG